This is a non-coding RNA of Paramuricea clavata, 185 nucleotides long. Lineage: Eukaryota; Metazoa; Cnidaria; Anthozoa; Malacalcyonacea; Plexauridae. The record is from the annotation of a GenBank genome assembly.
UUUAACAACUUGUAACAACCUUGUUGAUAUUAUCAGAUUUUUUGCAAGAUUGUUCUAACAAGUCCGAUACAGUCAUGAUAUAACAAUAUUGUUACAACCUUGUGUCGUCAACCUUGUAACAUUCUUGUUAUAUCAGCCUUGUAACAAGUCUGAUAGUGCCAUCAAGCUUGUUACAAGUUGUUAAC